CCUACGGGUGGCAGCAGUGGGGAAUAUUGCACAAUGGAGGAAACUCUGAUGCAGCGACGCAGCGUGAGUGAAGAAGUAAUUCGUUACGUAAAGCUCUAUCAGCAGGGGAGAAAAUGACGGUACCUGAGUAAGAAGCCACGGCUAACUACGUGCCAGCAGCCGCGGUAAUACGUAGGGGGCAAGCGUUAUCCGGAUUUACUGGGUGUAAAGGGAGCGUAGACGGUGCGCUAAGUCUGUAGUGAAAUGCCGCAGCUUAACUGCGGAACUGCAAUGGAAACUGGCAAACUAGAGUGCGGGAGGGGUAAGCGGAAUUCCUAGUGUAGCGGUGAAAUGCGUAGAUAUUAGGAGGAACACCAGUGGCGAAGGCAGCUUACUGGACAGUAACUGACAUUGAGGCUCGAAAGUGUGGGUAGCAAACAGGAUUAGAUACCCGGGUAGUC
This 440-nucleotide ribosomal RNA is filed under the name uncultured bacterium. RNAcentral describes it as "partial 16S ribosomal RNA". It matches the Rfam family "Bacterial small subunit ribosomal RNA", at positions 338 to 795 of the family's 1533-position model. The record is from RNAcentral.